CAUAAUUUUCCAGAUUAUGUGAAGGUGGAGAAUUAUUAGAAAGAAUUUUAUCCAGAGGUGGAAGGUACUCAGAGGAGGAUGCAAAAGCUAUAGUUAUUCAAAUACUGAGUGUAAUCGCCUUUUGUCAUCUUCAAGGUGUUGUGCAUCGUGAUUUAAAGCCAGAGAGAUGAAAAUGCUCAGAUGAAGUUGAUUGAUUUUGGCCUUUCCAAUUUUGUUA
This is a long non-coding RNA of Zingiber officinale, 217 nucleotides long. RefSeq lists it as uncharacterized. The record is from RefSeq and is a predicted model, not a curated record. NCBI's taxonomy places the organism in Eukaryota, Viridiplantae, Streptophyta, Magnoliopsida, Zingiberales, Zingiberaceae. The transcript is spliced from 3 exons.